Molecule: small RNA, 17 nt
Filed under: Arabidopsis thaliana (thale cress)
Lineage: Eukaryota; Viridiplantae; Streptophyta; Magnoliopsida; Brassicales; Brassicaceae
Description: ATSL144960
Source: RNAcentral
UUUUUUUUGGUUAAAAC